GACGAACGCUGGCGGCGUGCCUAAUACAUGCCAGUCGUGCGGACCUUGUUGAAAGCUUGCUUUUAAAAGGUUAGCGGCGGACGGGUGAGUAACACGUGGGCAACCUGCCUGUAAGACUGGGAUAACGCCGGGAAACCGGGGCUAAUACCAGAUCGUUUUUUCCUCCGCAUGGAGGAAAAAGGAAAGGCGGCUUCGGCUGCCACUUACAGAUGGGCCCGCGGCGCAUUAGCUAGUUGGCGGGGUAAUGGCCCACCAAGGCAACGAUGCGUAGCCGACCUGAGAGGGUGAUCGGCCACAUUGGGACUGAGACACGGCUCAAACUCCUACGGGAGGCAGCAGUAGGGAAUCUUCCGCAAUGGACGAAAGUCUGACGGAGCAACGCCGCGUGAGUGAAGAAGGCCUUCGGGUCGUAAAACUCUGUUGCCGGGGAAGAACAAGUGCCGUUCGAACAGGGCGGCGCCUUGACGGUACCCGGCCAGAAAGCCACGGCUAACUACGUG
RNAcentral lists this ribosomal RNA (500 nucleotides) under uncultured bacterium. Its description in RNAcentral is "partial 16S ribosomal RNA". It matches the Rfam family "Bacterial small subunit ribosomal RNA", at positions 28 to 507 of the family's 1533-position model. The record is from RNAcentral.